GACGAACGCUGGCGGCGUGCUUAACACAUGCAAGUCGAACGGUGAAGCGCCUUCCUUUUUGGUGGGUGUGGAUGCGUGGCGAACGGGUGAGUAACACGUGAGUAACCUGCCCCCUUCUUCUGGAUAACCGCAUGAAAGUGUUGCUAAUACGGGAUAUUCUGUGUCUGUCGCAUGCUGGGUCUGGGAAAGAUAUUGUGUCGGUGGGUGAUGGGCUGGCGGCCUAUCUGCUUGUUGGGGUGGUGAGGGCCUACCCAGGCGGUGACGGGUUGGCGGCCUGGGAGGGUCGACGAUCACACUGGUGCGGCGCCACGGCGCCGCCUACGAGAGGAGGCAGCGGUGGGGAUUAGUGAACAGUGGGCGGAAGGAUGAUGCAGCGCCGCCGCGUGGGAGAUGGACGCCUUCGGGUUGUGAACCUCUUUCGCGAGUGAAGCAGGUCUGCCUAGUUUGUGGGUGGGUUGACGGUAGCUGGAUAAGAAGCGCCGGCUAACUACGUG
Molecule: ribosomal RNA, 494 nt
Filed under: uncultured bacterium
Lineage: Bacteria
Description: partial 16S ribosomal RNA
Rfam family: Bacterial small subunit ribosomal RNA
Source: RNAcentral